AAGAACUUAAGUUAAUAUAAACUUCAGACCUUCAAAGUCUGUAUUAGAUACAAAUAUCUAGAUCUUA
This 67-nucleotide transfer RNA is filed under the name Scolytinae sp. BMNH 1043001. Its description in RNAcentral is "tRNA-Trp". The record is from RNAcentral. Lineage: Eukaryota; Metazoa; Arthropoda; Insecta; Coleoptera; Curculionidae.